CUUAAAAUGAUUUUAAUUAUCAUGUUUAAAAUCUUAGUAAUAUUAAUCAUAGUACUUAAAAUAAAAUAAAAUAAUAUUACAAUUACAAAAUAUAAUAAUUUUACAAAAAUUAUGAAGUGAUUGCCUCCCUUCAUAUAGUUUUCAGAGUUAUUUAAUUCUUAACAUAUGUUGUAAUAUGUAAUAUAAUAAUUCUGCUAAUAUUUCCACGGUUUUGACACCAUGUGACUUGUCUUCUGUCUCUCGAUUGGUUCUUCUGUUAAACUCAGACAGGUCAGUGGAGCUGUCAGUGGUGCGGCCCAAAGUGAGCGUCUACCCAGCGACGGGAGCUGAUUUAAAGGGCCGGCGCUCCCUGCUGUGUGUGGCCAGAGACAUGGUCCCUGAGGAGGUCCGGGUGUCCUGGAGGAGGAGAGGGGGGGGCAGAGGGGGGGGGAAGGACGGGGAGCAGCUGGAGCUCAGAGCCCCGACAUACGCUGCCAGCAUCCUGGUUAUUGAUCAGGGAGAAACCCUCACAGAUCAAUACAACUGUACGGUUGAGCAUGAGAGCGGUCUGCAGGAAGUGGAGGUCCCAGCAGAAAUGACCUUGACGUCAGAAGGCCCCGGAAUGAUAGAAAUGACCUUGACUUCAGAAGGCCCCGGAAAGACAGAUGUUACCUUAGCGACGUCAGUUACUACGGACCCCCGGCGUCCAGGGAGACCCAGAGAAGGUCCUUCAGAUGAAACACACCGUAAGAUCAGCUGCUCUCACUCUGAACUGCUGUAGGAACCUCAAGUGGCCUCUGGAUUAGCAGUGUGGUAUUUCAUCAAGAAUACAUUAAUGUAUGUAUACACCAUGGAGUGUAAACCAGUACAAACUAUUAUAAACCAUUACAACCAGUUUAUAACAGUAUGGAGUGUACAAGCCAGUAUAUAAAGUAAACCAGUAUAAACCAGUAUGGCACGUGUAGACCUCUAUGGUGCAUAUGGACCAGUAUAAACCACAUAGGCCUCUAUGGUGCAAAUGGACCAGUAUAAACCACAUUGGCCUCUGUGGUGCAUAUGGACCAGUAUAAACCACAUAGGCCUCUAUGGUGCAUAUGGACCAGUAUAAACCACAUAGGCCUCUAUAGUGCACAUGGACCAGUAUGAACCAGUAUGGGCUGUGUGUUGGUGGGGUCCCAGAGUCCCUCCAGGUGCUGUCCAGAGCCAGGCUGGCGUCUGUGCUCUACACAGUGAUGGUGGUGAAGAGUGUGCUCUGCUGCUGUGGCCUGGCUCUCCUGCUCCUCCACACCAACAAGACCAGCAGGACGCCCAGAACCAGCACCACCACAGCCCUGGACUGACGCUGCUGUCCCCCAGAACCAGCACCACCACAGCCCUGGACUGACGCUGCUGUCCCCCAGAACCAGCACCACCACAGCCCUGGACUGACGCUGCUGUCCCCCAGAACCAGCACCACCACAGCCCUGGACUGACGCUGCUGUCCCCCAGAACCAGCACCACCACAGCCCUGGACUGACGCUCCUGUCCCCCAGAACCAGCAGACCCACCUCGCAAAACCAUAAGAGAUCAUCAUGUCAUCAUUUUAAUCAGUUCUACUCUUCAUGUUUUUUAAGUUUACUUUCAUUGCUUUCAUGUUUGUAAUAUUUUUCAUUGUUUAUAUAAUGUGUCCGUCCUGACGAAGUACUGAACUCAAUACUCACAGUAGACAACAGAAACCUAGAGCAAAAACAUAGAUAACGUAAGUGGCUAGGGAGUUCAAAUAGUUUGAUAAAAAGUUAAGAAAUAUUUUAGCAUUCAGAAUAAAAUGAGCAAUGAUAACAUAUUUUAUUAUUAUACAUAUAUUUUACAUAUUAUGAUUGAUAUCAUUCAAAGAUAAAUUCAUCAUCGCUGUAUUUGAUAGUACGACUUAUAUUGACAUUUAAAUAAAACAAUUGGCUAUCCUGAUUCGUCUGCAUGUUUGUCAACCCUUCUAUUUGUAUGACUCUACAUGAGCUUUUUCUGAUUUUUUUAAAAUAAUUUUCAUACAUACAGGAUUGGUAUGUUAACCUAGCAGGUUUCACAUGUUUGGUCAAGCACGACAAUGUUAAUUAAAAGUAAUUAUUUAGGUAAUUGAACUCUACCUUCAAACUUUUCAAUAAACUGAGGAGUGGUG
Molecule: long non-coding RNA, 2131 nt
Organism: Gadus morhua (Atlantic cod)
Lineage: Eukaryota; Metazoa; Chordata; Actinopteri; Gadiformes; Gadidae
Source: Ensembl